AGUCGAGCGGUUUGAUUAGCUUGCUAAUCAGAUAGCGGCGAACGGGUGAGUAAUACCUAGGAAUCUGCCUGAUAGUGGGGGACAACGUGUGGAAACGCACGCUAAUACCGCAUACGUCCUACGGGAGAAAGGGGGCUUUUCGGAGCUCUCGCUAACAGAUGAGCCUAGGUCAGAUUAGCUAGUUGGUAGGGUAAAGGCCUACCAAGGCGACGAUCUGUAGCGGGUCUGAGAGGAUGAUCCGCCACACUGGAACUGAGACACGGUCCAGACUCCUACGGGAGGCAGCAGUGGGGAAUAUUGGACAAUGGGCGAAAGCCUGAUCCAGCCAUGCCGCGUGUGUGAAGAAGGCCUUUUGGUUGUAAAGCACUUUAAGCGGGGAGGAGGGNCACCACGGUUAAUACCCGUGAAUGUCGGACGUUACCCGCAGAAUAAGCACCGGCUAACUCUGUGCCAGCAGCCGCGGUAAUACAGAGGGUGCGAGCGUUAAUCGGAGUUACUGGGCGUAAAGCGCGCGUAGGCGGCUUGUUAAGUCGGAUGUGAAAUCCCUGGGCUCAACCUAGGCAUUGCAUUCGAUACUGGCAAGCUAGAGUAUGGGAGAGGAAGGUAGAAUUCCAGGUGUAGCGGUGAAAUGCGUAGAGAUCUGGAGGAAUACCGAUGGCGAAGGCAGCCUUCUGGCCUAAUACUGACGCUGAGGUGCGAAAGCAUGGGGAGCAAACAGGAUUAGAUACCCUGGUAGUCCAUGCCGUAAACGAUGUCAACUAGCCGUUGGGCCCCUUGAGGGCUUAGUGGCGCAGCUAACGCGAUAAGUUGACCGCCUGGGGAGUACGGUCGCAAGACUAAAACUCAAAUGAAUUGACGGGGGCCCGCACAAGCGGUGGAGCAUGUGGUUUAAUUCGAUGCAACGCGAAGAACCUUACCUAGCCUUGACAUGUCUGGAAUCUUGUAGAGAUACGAGAGUGCCUUCGGGAAUCAGAACACAGGUGCUGCAUGGCUGUCGUCAGCUCGUGUCGUGAGAUGUUGGGUUAAGUCCCGCAACGAGCGCAACCCUUUUCCUUAUUUGCCAGCACUUCGGGUGGGAACUCUAAGGAUACUGCCAGUGACAAACUGGAGGAAGGCGGGGACGACGUCAAGUCAUCAUGGCCCUUACGGCUAGGGCUACACACGUGCUACAAUGGUCGGUACAAAGGGUUGCUAACCCGCGAGGGCAUGCUAAUCUCAAAAAGCCGAUCGUAGUCCAGAUUGGAGUCUGCAACGCGACUCCAUGAAGUC
RNAcentral lists this ribosomal RNA (1269 nucleotides) under uncultured Gammaproteobacteria bacterium. RNAcentral describes it as "bacterial SSU rRNA". It matches the Rfam family "Bacterial small subunit ribosomal RNA", at positions 60 to 1327 of the family's 1533-position model. The record is from RNAcentral. Lineage: Bacteria; Pseudomonadati; Pseudomonadota; Gammaproteobacteria.